Molecule: ribosomal RNA, 483 nt
Filed under: uncultured bacterium
Lineage: Bacteria
Description: bacterial SSU rRNA
Rfam family: Bacterial small subunit ribosomal RNA
Source: RNAcentral
AUUGAACGCUGGCGGAAUGCUUUACACAUGCAAGUCGAACGGUAACAGGUCUUCGGAUGCUGACGAGUGGCGAACGGGUGAGUAAUAUAUCGGAACGUGCCCAGUCGUGGGGGAUAACGUAGCGAAAGUUACGCUAAUACCGCAUACGAUCUACGGAUGAAAGCGGGGGAUCGCAAGACCUCGCGCGAUUGGAGCGGCCGAUAUCAGAUUAGGUAGUUGGUGGGGUAAAGGCUCACCAAGCCAACGAUCUGUAGCUGGUCUGAGAGGACGACCAGCCACACUGGAACUGAGACACGGUCCAGACUCCUACGGGAGGCAGCAGUGGGGAAUUUUGGACAAUGGACGCAAGUCUGAUCCAGCCAUUCCGCGUGCAGGAUGAAGGCCCUCGGGUUGUAAACUGCUUUUGUACGGAACGAAAAGGUCUCUAUUAAUACCAGGGGCUCAUGACGGUACCGUAAGAAUAAGCACCGGCUAACUACGUGA